This 769-nucleotide long non-coding RNA is filed under the name Marmota monax (woodchuck). Lineage: Eukaryota; Metazoa; Chordata; Mammalia; Rodentia; Sciuridae. The record is from RNAcentral.
UCACUUCCCAGGAGGCUAUGGAAUAUGGUCUUAUUCAAAUGGAGGUUGUAAAAGUUCAAAAAGAAGACAAGCCCAGGCAUUCAAGGACCCUUGAAUCUGAAAGUGGGAAGUAAUACUUCUGCUUUGUGCUAUUAGCCAAAUGGAGUCAACAAACCAGCUCAGGAGUAAGGAAAGAAUCUCCAUUUCAUGAAAGACCUGCAUGGGGAAGAGAGAGGUCACAUGUCUAUAAUCCUGGCCACUUGUGAGGCUGAAGUAGGAGGAUCACCAGAGGCCAGUCUGGGCAAUUUAUGAGAUCUCAUCUCAAAAAAUAAAAGGACAGGGGUGUAGCUCAGUGGUAGAGUGCUCCCGGGUUCAAUCCCCAAUAUCUAAACGGUUGGGGAUAUAGCUGAAUUGGUAGAGUGCUUGCCUUGCAUGCACAAGGCCCUGGGUUCAAUCCUCAUACCACACACACACACACACACACACACACACACAGACACACAGCUGAAUCUCAAUAUCACAAAACAAGCAAAACAAAAAACAAAAAACCCUGUAGUCAUUCUGCAAAGGGCAUGGAUAUAAGGAAACAUGAAUAAUUCUGACCAUGUUUCCAAUCCAUUUGUAGAGAAACUAUUAGCAAGUUUCCUAGCAAGUUGCUCCUCUGAGUUUUUCCUUAAAGAUUCAAGAGAUUUUUUACUAUAUAAUUAUAAUAUUAGAAACAAAUCUGAUUCAUAUAGUUUCAAUCUGCUUGCAUUGUAAAUUUAUUCUUCUUUUUAUUUUUAUAUCUGUG